AGUCAAAUGAACAUAAAAAGCAACUUGAAAUGCUACAAAAAAGACUUGACCACACAGUUGAGUUGAGUUCUUGGUGCAAGUGUGGUUUUUGUCAAGUUACACUUCUUCAGAAUCCUCAAGAGGCCUGGUGCUGCCAAGAACUUAAGCCUGUAGCUGAAAGCUUAACACACUAGUCGGUUCUGGCAGAUCUGUCAACUAUUCCAUGUUGUGUCACUCUACACCCAGGUUUCAGACCAGUUUGUUUGGAAAAGUGGUCGCUAAAAAUGGCUGCUAGGAAAUACAAAACCAAAGAACAAAGACGAUACAGAGAAACAGGAUCUGAAAACAUGUUUUUACGAUGUGUUGCAUACAGAGAAUUCACAUCUAUGAUUUAUGGAUGCUUAGGAGAAGAAAGAAGACCAUUACCAGCAUGUGCAUACCAUGCAAUAAGAUCAAAAUUUAAUGAUAAAAAGUUGGAAUUUAGAGGGUACGAAGAAAAUGAAAUAAAUGAGUGAAGUGAAAA
Molecule: long non-coding RNA, 502 nt
Organism: Xenia sp. Carnegie-2017
Lineage: Eukaryota; Metazoa; Cnidaria; Anthozoa; Malacalcyonacea; Xeniidae
Exons: 3
Source: RefSeq, a predicted model, not a curated record